GGCCGGAUGCGGUUUCUAGUAUAGAGCUCCCAAAAUGCAGGUUGACUCGGCGGUCGCACUGUUCAUUUUUCUGUAUGAAUAGAAUUAAUAGUGGUGUGAUGUUGAGGAAGUGGUUACGAUGGCAUCGAUCCCGCCAUGUGCUAGUGGGAGAUGUUGGCAUUCGGUUAACUCGAAUCGGGUACGCUCAUAAGCGAGUUCGAUCCGACGGAUAUUAUGUUAUCUAAUUGGAUUGGAAUUAAUCUCGCUUUCAAAUUGGAAAGCUAGUUAGAGAUAAAUCCUAGUCAUAUGAGGAUAACAAUUAAUAACCGAUUUGGCCUUAUCUCUAACGCUAUUAGGAUUUUGGAAUCCCUUAUAAAUAUGCGGGCGAUCCCACAUAACAAAAAGACACAAGAACGUAAGAAAGAAAAGAGAAUAAGAAAACGAAAGACAGAAACCACAUCCUCCAUCAACCUAUUAUUCGAAGAGGGACUUGAAAGGUGGAUUUGUGAUCGUGCUCGUUUGUAGUUCGAUCCAUCGCGAGUUUGGAACGUGAGAAGAUUUAAUCAAGGACGAUCAAAGGACACGUGAAUCAACCUCGACGAUCCGGACUCAUCGAGUUGUAACGCGA
This 607-nucleotide long non-coding RNA is filed under the name Ananas comosus (pineapple). Its description in RNAcentral is "long non-coding RNA (ACOM_LNC001990)". Lineage: Eukaryota; Viridiplantae; Streptophyta; Magnoliopsida; Poales; Bromeliaceae. The record is from RNAcentral.